RNAcentral lists this long non-coding RNA (341 nucleotides) under Capsicum annuum. Its description in RNAcentral is "long non-coding RNA (CANN_LNC018295)". Lineage: Eukaryota; Viridiplantae; Streptophyta; Magnoliopsida; Solanales; Solanaceae. The record is from RNAcentral.
UUCAUCAUCCCUGGUUCAUAUGGGGCACCAGAUUUUUUAACCCAUCCAUCACUAUUAUCACUACCAGCUUUAAGUACGACUCCAGGGGUAAAUUUCUCAAUAGCAUCUUUUGCAGGAUUCUUAUUGUAACUUUUCCAAGUUACUCUUUUAUCGGUAUUUGCACCGGGGCCCCUAUUUAGGUACUCAGCAAAGUAUGAUGUGUCAAGUCCAAAGGUACCGGCAAAUGGAAUCCAUCCUUCAGGGUCAAUGAUACCAUCAAUUUCUGAUUCCAUCACUAUGGCCCUUGAGUACAACUUAGCCGGUCGUCCGAGGAACACCUUGUUAACUGCUGGCUUGACUGC